AAGGGGCGCGAUACAUCGCUGACAAUGGUGGGAGGUGAAGGCAGCAAGAAGGUCAGUGCGGAGAAGAACACAAAUGCAAUGAAGAGCAAGCCUCGAUCGGAGCCUCUUCCCCCUCCCAUACCCGAGG
Molecule: non-coding RNA, 127 nt
Filed under: Palpitomonas bilix
Lineage: Eukaryota
Source: RNAcentral